Molecule: non-coding RNA, 166 nt
Filed under: pig gut metagenome
Description: Lysine riboswitch
Rfam family: Lysine riboswitch aptamer
About the family: Riboswitches are metabolite binding domains within certain messenger RNAs that serve as precision sensors for their corresponding targets. Allosteric rearrangement of mRNA structure is mediated by ligand binding, and this results in modulation of gene expression. This family includes riboswitches that sense lysine in a number of genes involved in lysine metabolism, including lysC.
Source: RNAcentral
AAUGAUAGAGGCGCGGCGUUCAUCAGUACCUUCCAUCCCCGGCAGGAAGACCGGGAAGGGAAAGGGGUCGCCGCCGAAGGGUCCAGCCGGGUGCCUGCCCGCCGGACGCCUGGGCCGUCAGAGAAGAUCUGCCGGACUGCCAUUUCCCGCAAAUGGAGCGCUAUCA